RNAcentral lists this ribosomal RNA (287 nucleotides) under Hymenobacter sp. RNAcentral's name for it is "partial 16S ribosomal RNA". It matches the Rfam family "Bacterial small subunit ribosomal RNA", at positions 1 to 294 of the family's 1533-position model. Lineage: Bacteria; Pseudomonadati; Bacteroidota; Cytophagia; Cytophagales; Hymenobacteraceae. The record is from RNAcentral.
UUUACAAUGGAGAGUUUGAUCCUGGCUCAGGAUGAACGCUAGCGGCAGGCCUAAUACAUGCAAGUCGAACGGUGGCAGCAAUGUCAUAGUGGCGCACGGGUGCGUAACACGUAACUAACCUACCUAUAACUGGGGGAUAGCCCGCCGAAAGGCGGAUUAAUACCGCAUAAGCUCUUGACUUGGCAUCAGGUUAUUAGUAAAGAUUUAUUGGUUAUAGAUGGGGUUGCGGGUCAUUAGCUAGUUGGUAAGGUAACGGCUUACCAAGGCGACGAUGACUAGGGGAGCUG